RNAcentral lists this microRNA (19 nucleotides) under Pongo pygmaeus (Bornean orangutan). RNAcentral describes it as "ppy-miR-646". Its record names the gene ppy-miR-646. Lineage: Eukaryota; Metazoa; Chordata; Mammalia; Primates; Hominidae. The record is from miRBase by way of RNAcentral.
AAGCGGCUGCCUCUGAGGC